CAGCAGCCACGGGAAUACGUAGGGUGCGAGCGUUAAUCGGAAUUACUGGGCGUAAAGGGCGCGUAGGCGGAUUGUUUAGUUAGGCGUGAAAUUCCUGGGCUUAACCUGGGGACUGCGCUUAAUACAGGCAGUCUAGAGUGAGGAAGAGGGUUGUGGAAUUCCCAGUGUAGAGGUGAAAUUCGUAGAUAUUGGGAAGAACACCGGUGGCGAAGGCGGCAACCUGGUCCUUGACUGACGCUGAGGCGCGAAAGCGUGGGGAGCAAACAGGAUUAGAUACCCCUGUAGUCCCUGUCUCUUAUAC
Molecule: ribosomal RNA, 301 nt
Filed under: uncultured bacterium
Lineage: Bacteria
Description: partial 16S ribosomal RNA
Rfam family: Bacterial small subunit ribosomal RNA
Source: RNAcentral